AUCCAGAUUCAUACAACAAGACUGGGGGUUCUGCUUCUGCUCAAACUCAGUCAAUGGAGCCUCUUGAGUCGAAAAACAAUUUAGACAGAUUGUCCAGUUCUCACUCUGAAAAGAUGGGAAAAAGUGGAAUUCAUCAUGCCAGGGACCUUACCCAGACAUCAGGAAAGAUUGUUGGUUCAGAAACCAAGGAAGUAAAGGGUGCUCUUCCUGAAGGCUUCUUUGACAACAAGGAUGCUGACCUUCGUGCACGUGGUAUUGUGCCUGUUAAGCCGGAUGUCAAGUAAGUUCUUGCUUCUGUUAUAUAAAUUUAUUUCUUUAAAAUGUCACUAUCAUCUGACAGGGAGUGUAAUAGAUUCUCUGGAAUAGUAUUCCCUUUCUUUGAUUCUUUUAUGUCCUCUAGUACUGUUUCUUUUCUAUCAAAUUAGAGAAACAAGGUCUGAGAGGGUCUCAAAAGUGUGUAAAGAAAAUUUGAGAUUAUAUCUUGUUUGAAGAAUUAUUUUUCAGCACUCACUGGUCCAUCAUUGUCAUUUUUGAAGCUUUGUCAUCUUUUCAUCAUCGUUGUUAUCAUCAUCGUGAUUAUCAUCUUCUAAUUUUUAACCUAAAAACAAAGCAAAUACACAGGUCCUAGGUUGUGCUUAGAAGCUUUAUUUUGGGCAAUUUUAAUUGGUGGAUAAAUUUCAUGAGUCCUUUUUGGAUGCUUGUGGUAGGGUUUGAGUGGGAAAUCUUUAACCUUCUCUUUGAUAAAAAUAUCAUUGGGAAAAAAAAUAGGACUCUGCCUAGUACUCACAGGUGUAUGUGAAUCCUGUACAUCACAACUGUAGUGUAGUGAAAUAAAUCUUGGUAUAAUUUAGCAGGGGAGGGUGUUAGAGAGGACUGGCUGUGUUAAAAACCUUAGUGAGCCUCAGUGGAGGUUUCUCUGAUUCGUGGGGAAGUUUAUUUUUGAUAGCGUAGGGACCUUUUAACCCUACAGCAUAAUGGCAUGUGUUUCAUUGGGUACUUGAGAUGAUCAGAAAUUACCAUGUAUGAUUGCAUUACUUGGAACACUGAAUUAACCUUGUUAAGAAAUGUUAAAUCCUGGUCAGGGACGAGUACAAAGAAUUUGAAAAGUUGAUACAGGAGGAUUUGAAGGAGGUGGACAACCGUUUGGAAGAAGAAGAGGUCAGGAUCAUUUAUUCCUUGCACCAUUCCUAGAACCCAAUAAUGUAGUCUCUGGUGAUGUUUACUAAAGAUUGGAGUUAUAUCAUUAACUUGGUUUUGCAAUUUUAUGAUGUAGUUUGAUGCAGCUGAGAUGAUUGAAGAGGCCGAGUCUGUGGAGCAAAAGUAAGUCAAGUGUGGUCACGAGUAGUGUAUCACUUGGGUUCUCCUAUAUUUCCAAUGUUUUUGAGUUGGCCUUUUGUUUAGGGUGUAUUGGGAGAAAGUGGAAAUGCUGAAGAAGAAGAAAUUGGAGCUGAAGGCGGCUAGAUCCGGCAGACAGAGUAAACAGCCUGAGGUCAGAGGCAAGGGGCAUAGCUCUAAAGAGGAUUCAUCCAGUGAUGAUGAUAGUGAUGGGAAAUUCAUGGUUGAUUGGAGAGCACAACACCUGUGAAUACUUCUGUUUGAAAUUUUCUAUGUCGCCUGUGCAGACAUGUCUAUGUUGGCAUGCAAACACCUGAUUACGUUUGCUGGAGUUUGGUGCUUGCUGCUUCUUUCAUUCUGAGCCAUUCUCCAGAUUUUGGUUCAACUGGCUGCUGAUUGAAAGGGAUGGGGAGUGAGGCGAGGUGAGAGUAAGCCCUGGUCCAAGAUCUGGGUUUUGGUUGAAACUUGAAUGGUGUAUCCCGAAUUCCGAUACUAAGAUUUAGGGUUUAAUGAAGACAAAUGGGUUAGGAAAGGAAUCAGUUUUAUGCUCUUAUUGUUUAUUUGGAAAUUUUGAGUUCUUUCCCGGUGUUGCUGGUUAUUAUCUGAAACACCUGCGCUACUUAACACUUAUCUUUUCACUACCUUCAAUUAUAUGGUGUAAUCGCACAACUGAAAUGCAAAAUUUUCUGGUGGGAUUAUCUCGUGAUUUCAGAAUCAUAAUUAAUUAAUAUUAUUAUUAUUAUUAUUAGGGGGUGGCCAUUUGGUGGUAAUAGUGGGCAAGUUACAGUCAGUUUCGUCGUGGGUUUAAAAAGUAGUUUUUCUUUUUCAAAAAUAAAAAUUAUUUGUUUCUAAUUUUUAAAAAUAAAGUGAAAUAAAGAGUAAGAGCCUGUUUGGCUGCGUGAUUUAAAAAUAUAUAUAUUUUUAAAUUUUUAUAAAGUAAAAAUUAUUUUUAAAAUUAUUUUUUAACUCAAAAACUGAUUUAAUUAAUAUUAAAAGUUAUGAAACUUAAUAACAUUAGUUAGUCAAAGAUCAAAAUUUAUUUUAAUUAUUUAGGUUAGUUUCUAUAUAUAUAUCAUUUUUAAAAAUUUUAUUAUUAGGUAAAUAAGUUUUAAAUUAAGCAAGAUUUAAUGCAUUAGAUUCACUAAGAGCUUAGUAAUUUUUUAAAAUAAUUUAAAACUCAAAUAGUAAAUCAAUUAAUACAAAAAACUUAUGGAUAAAAAUUGGUUUAGAAUAACUUUAUUGUUUCUCUUUCACAUAGAAUCCUUAUUUCUUGCAUUAAUGAUUAAAUUAUUAAUUUCUUUGAGUGUAUGUAUGAGCAACAUCUUACAGUGAUAGCAUAAUUUUUAACUUUAAACAAUCAAUAAUUUAAUAGGUAGUAAUACAUAUCUUUAAUAAUAGAUACAAUGAUUGUGGUAUUUCCACCAAGUUUGAAUUUAAUAUCCGUACUUGUGCAUGUGGACAUAUAAUGGUGCACGAUAUGGAGUUAGGCUAUGACUCAUUCAUUAGUGAAAAAAUUGUAAUUUUGCCAAACCUAGUUUACAUAAGCAAAUCCAUGCCACAAUCUCUAGGUGGAAGCCUAGGAGCCACGAUCCCUCUCUUUCUCUCUCUUGUUUGAUUGUCAUUUGGUAAUCUGAAAAUUUAAAAUUAGAAUUUUCUUCUAAUACUUUUUAAUCAAAAGUUUUUAGGGGGCUAUUAUUAAUUUUACUUACAAUGGGAAAAGAUAUUUGUUGUUUUUCUUUUUCAGUAGCAGUUAAAAAGGUUAUAACAUUUGAAAAUCACAAUUUAUCUUAACAAUAAAUCAAUAGAAUAAAAUUAAAAAUUAGAGUAUAAAUUAGUAGCAUACCUGAAACUAAUAUGAAGAUAUAAUAACAUAAAGUAAUUAUCAUUGAAUAAAUUAAAAGAAAAGCCAUUUCUUCUAUUACAAUAGUGAUGGAAUUCACUUCCAAAGCUUAUAGUAAAUCAUAAAGCAUAUGAAGAUCUACAAACAAAAUUUAUUGCCUUCGAGCAUGAUUUUUGGCAUAAGUCACUCUUCUUUUGAACAGUAGCCACUUGACAAUUUUGUCCACAAAAUCAAAAUAGGCAUCACACCAAGAUCUUCUUAUUGCCAAGACAAAAUAAGGAACUAAAAUGCCCAGCGCAAAUCCCAAGCCAAUGCUUAAGUAAAACCACUGAUCAAUAUAGCCACCAUCAAUUUUGUCCUCAAGAACACUUUGCCUUUUAUCUAGGUCUUCAUCCUGACAUUUUGUGACUAGUGGAGUUCCACAAAGAUUCGGGUUUCCAGUAAAGGCCAACUCUGUGAAAGUUGUCAUUUGCCCUACAAAGGGGAUCUUACCAGAGAAAUUAUUAUUUGAUAGAUUCAAAUAACCCAAGAAUGUUAACGAGGACAUGCUUGAAGGAAUGGUGCCAGAAAGCUUGUUGCUUGAUAGAUCAAGAGAGGACAACUGACACAACAUUGAAAUGCUUCCAGGAAUUUGGCCAAUGAUGUGAUUCAUGGACAAGUUUAGAAACACCAAACCAGACAAUUUUGUUAUUCCCUCAGGAAACUCUCCACUUAAAUUAUUGUCGGAUAGAUCGAUGCUAACAACAAGAGAAAGAGUCCUCGUGUAUUCAAGACUUUGGCCUUUUGUAAUCACAAUCAACCUUUCAUCAUAUCGAGAGCCAUUCCCACUGUGAUACAAAGAAUACAUAUCCAUGUUACGCUCCUGAGCCAUGGCUUUAAGCUCCACCAAAGUGACUGGAAUUUUACCAGUCAAAUUGUUUUGUGCAAGGUCUAAGACAUGUAGGGAGCUUAAAUUUGAAAGUCGGUCGGGAAGUCUUCCAAAAAAUGCAUUCGACCUCAAGUUGAGUAUUACAAGAUUUAUGAAAGCAGUUCCAAUCCAUGAUGGAACCUUACUCGAUAAUUCGUUAUAACUGAGAUCAAGGAGUUCCAAACUUGAUAAAUUUUGGAAAGAUGAGGGAAGCUCUCCUGAAAGCUUGUUGUCGUUCAGGUGUAGUGAUUGGAGCAAUUGUAACCGACCUAAUGACUUUGGUAUCAUCCCGGACAAAUUGUUAUUUCCAAGGUCCAAAACAAUUAGGCGAGAGUAAUUAUUUAUGGUAGAAGGAAUGCUUCCGGUCAAAUUAUUCCUUGAAAAAUCAAUGACUUCAAGAGAGGUGAUGUGUCCUAUGGAAUCUGGGAUGGUUCCUGUUAUUCGAUUACUCGAAAGAGAAAGGAAAUACAAGCUUGGUAGGAAUUCACCUAUGUUUGAUGGGAUGGGCCCUGUUAUUUGAUUAUGAGAAAGAAGAAGGUAUCUCAAGUCUGACAGGGAUUCACCUUUACUAAGUGGGAUAGGGCCAGAAAAUUUAUUAUGGGAGAGAUCUAGAAAUCUCACCCCUUUGAUUGAAAAAGGAAUAGGUCCUUCAAAGAGGUUGGAACUGAAAUCGAUCUGUGUGAGAAAAGGAGAAGAAAAAUUCAAUGAAUUUGGUAACUGACCUUGUAACUGAUUGUGAGAAAGACUUAAGUCCUGCAGAUUGAAAGAAAUAUUCCAAAACCAAUUUGGAAUAUGACUUGAAAUGCUAGCAUUUGAGAAAUUAAGAUAUUGGAGGUUCUUCUGAGAUUGAAGCCAAACCGGAAAUGAAGGACCCAAGUGGCAUGAACCCAUAUCAAGAUAUUUCACCUGGAAAGGGGGAACCCAAUUGGGACUAACAUUCAAAUGGAAAGAAUUGGAGUCCAUGUAUAGCUGCUCCAACUUACUUAGCUUCCAAAAAUGUUGUUCAGAGAGACUUCCACUCAUUUGAUUGGAACUAACUUGCAAGAUUUGCAAUUCUGAAAGUUGUCCAAUACUAUCUGGGAGACUUCCAUUCAGCUUAUUCAAUCCAAGAGUCAAGAACUCCAGGUGUUGCAAUGUCCAUAAAGAAACAGGAAUGAGACCUUCAAAUCUGUUACUGUUUAAAACAAGUGCCCUGAGAUUUUUAAGCUCACCCAACCAAUUUGGCAAUUUUCCCAUCAAUUGAUUGCCAUACAAGUACAACUCUGUCAAAUUAGGCAAAAGACUUUUAGAACUGCAGGUUUCAAUUCCCUCGAUAAUCUUAGGUAAACUUCCAUUCAAGUAAUUAUCACUCAAAUCCAGAUAUUUUAAGUUGCAAAAGUUUCCAAAGGAGCUUGGAAUUGGACCUGUAAUGAGCAAGAUUAAAAAAUAUGUAUUAAUUAAAUUAUGUAAUAAACAAAUAAUAAAAAUAGUAAAUAACAAAAUAAAUUAAUUCAUGAACAAUUAAUUUAAAGAAAAAGUAAGAAAAGUUAUUAUUCUUCAUGAAUUGGUGAAUAAAAAUAGUAAGAAUGGUAUUUUUUUAUCUUUUUUGAUAACCAUAAAAUAAAAUAAUUUAUUUCACUUUGUUAAAAAAGAAAAAAUAAUUUAUUUCAAUGUUAUAAGAAUAGUAGGAUUAGUCAUUGAUAUUAAUUGUUCCUUUAAAAAUAAACUAUUUUUUCUUUUUUAACAAAGUGAUAGUUCAAUGAGAGAAGAUAGAAAAUCAAAAUAUAAACCAAAGGAUUAAGAAAUCAAGUUAUCAAAAUUUAAAUUUUUAUUUUAGCGAUGAAAAUAAAGCUAGAGAAAACUAGGAAUUCAACCUAGUUUAAUAUUUUGUAACAACAACACUACAAGAAACUAGCAAAAUUAAAUAAAAAGUGAGAAACUUAUAAUAAACUAAAAUCAGUAAAAUGAUGAUGUAAAAUGGUUUAUAGUCUAACUAAAAUAUACAAAGGAUAUGCUAUGAAAUGAAAUAUCUAAAUUAAUUGAGGAGUGAGGAUGUCCUUAUAUCAAAUUGUCACUCAAAUCUAAAUAUUUUAGAGAUUUCAAUUUUAUCAAUAAAGGUCUAAUCUAAUUAAUUAAGUUUAAAAGAGACAAUAUAUCAAAGUAAAAACUCAUAUGGCAACAAUUGCUUCCCCUUUAGGAUAGUGGUUAAUAUUAACUUCUUGAUUUGGAUUUUAGUGAAUUCUCUAAGGUUGUUUUUGGAACUUCUAAUGUUUUAUUUCUAAAGAUAGAAAUUCAUAGAAACUCUAAUAUAAAUAGUAAAACUUUACCAUAAAAAAGUACUAUCUUAAAUGUUUUAAAAAACAUGAAUAUUAGAAAAAAUUUACUAUCUUAAAUCUUUUAAAUUUCAAUAACAGUAUUUAAGAACAUGAAAUGUAAUAUUAUAUUUACUUAAUGUUCAAUUUUAUGGUUUCAAUUACUUGUCUCAACCAUGAAAUGUCAUAUCUCAAUAUAUAAAUUACAAUAAUUUGACAUAAUAGAUGAAUUAUGGAGAGAAAAUAGAAAUUGAAAAUGUGCAAGAGAUGAUUGAAAGUUAUUUGAUGAUAAAGAUUCUUAACAAACGUAAAUGAUCAAAAUAGGAAUAUAAAUUUUUUUUUUGGAGAUACAAAGAAAGUAAAUUUUUAGAUUUCAAUCUAAUGUGGUUUUUUAUUUAUUAAUUACAAGAUUUUAAAAAAUAAAUGAAUAGUAAAUUAUAAUUAUUUAAAUUUUAUAGGAACAAGAAAUACCUGAAAAUAAACAUGACAAUCUAGAAUAAAAUUUUGAAAUGAGAAUAAAAAUUGAAAAGUAUUUAACAGCUAAAACUAGUAAAAUAUUAUAAAAAAAAAUUGGCAUUAGCAAAGUACGUCAUAUAUCAAUUCAACCGUAAUAUAAAUAUUCAAUUCAGUGCAUAUUCAAAUUAUUAUCCCCAAGAACAAAAUAAAUCGAAAAAAUGAGAGCAUGUCAAAAUCUUACUAUAGAAAUGAAAGCAUUCAAAAAAUAAUUAAUACCAUAAUGUAUGAAAAUGAUAUUAUUAUUAUUAUUUACAAUAAUAAAUAAUAAAUCAUUGAUCAACUAAUUUAAAAUAAAAAAAAAGGAGGUUAAGGAUUUAAAAAAUCAUAUUCCUAUAAGUACAAUUCUUUUAUUAGUUACAUAGACAUGCACCUUUUAUAAUCACUUACCAUUACACAAAAAAAUUGUUAAAUAAUAUAGAUACUUCAUAAGCAUAAAGUGUCAAACUAUAUACUUUUUCUUAGAUAAAAAAAAAACUAAAUUUCCUUCUAAGAAAUUUAAAGUUCAAAAUAAUGUUUUGUUAUUAGGUAUAAAUUUAUUUCCACUAUGAGAACAAAAUAUGGUGAUUAUUUGAUAAUGUAUACUAAUACAUAUUCAAGAAGAGGUUAUGUACACAAUCAUCAACUAUAUAAAUUUAAUUACAUAUUUACAUACAAACAAAGAAAUAUCAAUUUUUCUAUUAAGAGAAGAACUUACCAUGUAAUUUAUUUCCACCCAAAUUGAGAAAUUCUACCUUUUUCCAACUCUUCCUCAACAAUUGAUAGAUACUGCCUUCGAGAUAGUUCCCAUAUAGAUAUAAGUAUUGCAAAUUGGGUAGCUCACCAAGACCAAGUGGAAUCCUCCCAUGUAAUUGAUUGUAGCUUAUAUCAAUGGAUCCAAGGCUGCUAACAUUUAGAAGCCAUUCUGGAAACAUGGAAAUGAAUUGGUUCGACUUGAUGCUUAUAACACGAAGUGAAGUAAAGUUAACAAAGCUUGGAAAUGGAAUUGAGCCAGAUAGGCUACAACCAUCUAGAUGCAGCUCUGUUAAAAUUGGAAGUUUGUUUAGCACCUCCACCCAUUCACUUCCUACUGAUGAGAGGUUAACAUAAUCCAUACCAAGAUACUUCAAGGAAACAAGACUAGCCAUCCAUUCAAUAUUGCCAAUAGAUAAAUCAUUAAAAUAUUCAAAAUCAUCAUAACUCAGAUCUUCAUAAGAAAGAUCAAGAUACUGUAAAUUAGAAAGAUUUCCAAAAUUUGAAGGAAUUGUACCACUAAACUCAGCACCUGAUAAGUUUAGAUAUAGUAAAUUCUUCAAAGACCCGAAGAAUUGAGGAAUUGGCAUGCCUUUGAAUGAGUUGAAACUCAAAUCUAGAUAUUUCAAAGACUCGAGUUUUGUCAAUGAAGGUCUAAUUUCUCCACUCAAGUUCAUAGAGCUCCAGUUCUCAUGUACAUUCUUACGAGGAUAAGGGUUAUGAAGAUCAAUGGAAAUGACAAUUCCUGUGUCUUUUUCACAAGUAAUUCCUUGCCAGUAGCAAUAAUUGCUUCCUUUCCAUGAUGAAAGUCGGUUGUUAGGAUCUUUGAGGCCAUUUUUGAAGUUAAUAAGAGUCUCUUGUUCAGAUUGAAUGUUGUUGCUGAUAUGGGUAUAACCAUUACAUGCAAGUUCCGUUGUUAUGAAAUAGAGAAUGGCUACAAUGAAACCAAGAAUUGAAAUUCUCUCCAUGUAAAUAUUCUAAGUUGAGCACCUGUAAAAAUUGAAUUCCAAUAUGUAGUCAGCAUUUUCUUGAAUUAAAUUAAAAUUUUAUUUUUGACAUCAAAAUGAAAAACUGAUAAAAUUUAAAAGAUAGUUGCAUCAACAUGAUGAACUUAUUUUAACCAACACAUUUAAGAAAUGUUACCAGUCUAAUAUAAUUUUAAAAGAUCUACUCAUGGCAUAUGUAAAUAUAUACUAAGAAAAACAGUAGUAAUCAUCUCAUAGAUAUGCAACCUUACUUUGAUUGGCGAGAACUGAAAUCACCUACAAGAGAGUUAGAAAGAUUAGAUAGAAAAACACAUUAAAAGUAGUUUAUCAAUAUUAGUCGAGUUCAACCUUACCUGAAACUUCUUUCUUGUUUUCCUUGUUUUUUCAAUUCAACUAAAAUAUAUAGAAGAUUGUUUAAAGUGAUGACAAUGAUAGCCUCACUUUCUUAUUUUCCUUGUUUUUUCAAUCAUAUUAAAUUCUAAUUGAGUGGAAAAUGACUCAGAGUUCUUACCUCCACCACAAAAACCAAGUGUCUUGAUUGAAAACCUUCACUUGAAGAUAAAAAAGAUGUGGAUUGAAAGACCAUGAGUUGGCACUAAGUCAAGGUCAAUAAGAUUAAAAUAAACAUUAAAAUUCAUCUAUGAGUAAAAAAAACUACACUUGUUUAAAUUUUGAAAGAUCUUAAUUGGGAAAAAUAAAAUAUGCAUAUCAAGGUGUUAAGAAUAAGUCAAGAGCUUAGAUCAUUCAACAUACAAAAAUAGUAUUGAAUUGAUGGGCUUAUUUGGUGGUAUAAUUUAGAAAUUUAUAGCACUAUUUGGCAUGUUUUAUCCCAAAAACAAAAUUUUAAAAUAAAGUUAAAUAGAGAACAACUUUAGGAAAAUAAAUAUAAUUUCUUCUCACUUGUUUUUAAAAACAAAAGGAAAACAUAAAAAAAUAAAAUAAAUAAAUACAAUCUCUUUCUUCUUUCAUUUUUUCUUUACCAACCAAUGAUAAAAAAUCAUCAAAUAUGAUCUUUCUCUUAAUUAUACGUAUUUUUUUUUUUAUUUUCUUUAACUUCUCUAAUUUUUUUAUUAGGCAUAUAGAUUUUGAAUCAAAUAAUACUUAAAAUAAUUUGAAACUCAAAAUCAAUUUAAUUAAUACUAAAUUGUCAUCAAACUUAAAAGUUAAUUUAAUUAAUACAAAAAAAGUCAUGAACCAAAAUUUAUCAUGGAUGACUUUUUUAGUUUCUUAUUACAACACAUAACUAUAUUUUUCUGAAUUUUUUGCUAGAAAAAUAAAUUAAAUCUAGCAAAACUUAAUGUUUCAAUCCUUUAAUGAAUCUAAUAAUUUUUAGAAAUACUUUCAAAUUCACAUAUNNNNNNNNNNNNNNNNNNNNNNNNNNNNNNNNNNNNNNNNNNNNNNNNNNNNNNNNNNNNNNNNNNNNNNNNNNNNNNNNNNNNNNNNNNNNNNNNNNNNNNNNNNNNNNNNNNNNNNNNNNNNNNNNNNNNNNNNNNNNNNNNNNNNNNNNNNNNNNNNNNNNNNNNNNNNNNNNNNNNNNNNNNNNNNNNNNNNNNNNNNNNNNNNNNNNNNNNNNNNNNNNNNNNNNNNNNNNNNNNNNNNNNNNNNNNNNNNNNNNNNNNNNNNNNNNNNNNNNNNNNNNNNNNNNNNNNNNNNNNNNNNNNNNNNNNNNNNNNNNNNNNNNNNNNNNNNNNNNNNNNNNNNNNNNNNNNNNNNNNNNNNNNNNNNNNNNNNNNNNNNNNNNNNNNNNNNNNNNNNNNNNNNNNNNNNNNNNNNNNNNNNNNNNNNNNNNNNNNNNNNNNNNNNNNNNNNNNNNNNNNNNNNNNNNNNNNNNNNNNNNNNNNNNNNNNNNNNNNNNNNNNNNNNNNNNNNNNNNNNNNNNNNNNNNNNNNNNNNNNNNNNNNNNNNNNNNNNNNNNNNNNNNNNNNNNNNNNNNNNNNNNNNNNNNNNNNNNNNNNNNNNNNNNNNNNNNNNNNNNNNNNNNNNNNNNNNNNNNNNNNNNNNNNNNNNNNNNNNNNNNNNNNNNNNNNNNNNNNNNNNNNNNNACAUUCAAGUAAAACAUCCUUUAAAAUGAAAAAAAAAAAAUAGUUUGUAUCUUUUUCAUGACCCAUUAAUCUUGUAAGAAUUAUAGAUCACGUUGUUUGAUCAUGAUCGAUGAUUAACAAACUUUAUUCUCUAUGUAGUGUUGACUAUGUUAUCAAGUCAAAAAGCUAUGCCGUGUUCAAGUAACACAUCUUCCAAAAUUUUAAAAAUAUAAUAAGAUAAAAUAAAAUAAAGGCCUUGACUCAAUUCUUUUUAUUAUGAAGGUCAUUCUUCACCUAAAAAAUAAGGUUAACAACUUUGCAUCUAAUUAUAAUAUAGGAUAAAAAGAAGUGUUUAAUAGUGAUCAAAACACUGAUUUUAUAUCAUUAUACAAAAUUAAGGGAAAUAAUCAACUAGUCAAGAAAUGAAUUGAUUAAUUGUUACCUUUACCAAAAUGCCUUAUUAUAUAUUAUAGCUUUUCUUUAAAUAAAAUUAAAAGAAAAUUGUCAAAUAGCACCAUAAUAAAGGGAAAAUUGAUCUUAGUCCACAUUACUACUUUUGUUUAAACAAAAUUAAAAUAAAUUUUGUGAAAUAUAUCAAUAAAAAAGGAAAAAUACUUGCAUGAAAAGAUAGAAUUUUUUUUUUUUUUUUUUAAAGCAAAAUGUUACUAAAUAAAGGGAAAAUACUUGUAUAAACUAGUUUAUCUAAAAUUAGACCUUGACUUAGUAUUUAAUAAAUAUAGGAGAACAAAUAUAUAUGACAACCAUACCAUUAAUUUUAUCUUAAUGUAUAAAAAUAAAGAUAACUAUUGGAUAGCCAAAAAUAAUAAUAAAAUUAAAUAUUUAUUAUCCCUAAUUGUAAAUUAUGAAAACAUUGAAAAGUUAUUUUAAAUCCAAAUAUGUCAAAAUAACAUCAUUAAUAUAAUUGCUUUCAAUUCAUUUUUACACACACAUAGUAGAUUAAACAUUAUAUCUAUCUUGCAAUUUAAGUAAUCACUUUUGACUUCAAAGGAAAAUGAUAUUAGAAAAUAAUAUGAUUCAACCCAAAAACUUAAUUUCUUUAAGUUCCAACUAAUGAGAAACAUACACAUGCGAUAACCUUAUUACAAUAGAUUAGUUUCUUCCAAUUUUUUUUUUUUAAUUUUUUAUUAUUCAAAUAUCUAAUAACCUAAUUUGCCUAAAAUUAAUUAUGACAAUGAUUAACCAUCUAAAAUCAAAUCAUAAUGUCCAUUUUUUUCUUGAUCAUAAUCCACAAUAAAGAAUAUUUAUUUUGAAUGAAGUGUAGACCACAUUGUAAAGUUUGUCAAUUCAAAUAGUCAUAUGGAUAACAAAUAACUAUUUUAAAAUCAUAUUAGAAUAGUUUGUAUUGUUAUAUGACCCAUCAAUUUUGUAUGAAGUGGAGACCACGUGUUUGACUAUGACCGAUGAUAAUGGAAUUUUAUUCUCUAUGUAGUAUUGAUCAGGUUAUCAAGUCAAAAAGUUAAAUUGUGCUCAAGUAAAACAUCCUUUAAAAUUUAAAAUAAAAAAUAAAAAAUCAAAAGACCUUGACUCGUUCAAAAUUAUGGUUUUGAAAGUUGGAAGUAAAAAUGGAGAAAGGAAAACCAAGAAAAAAAGGCCCAUAUAUUAGGCCUAGAAAUUAGGCCCUUGUAGAAAGGAAAAAAAGAUUUUCGAAAAAGGAAAAUUAAAUAAAAUAAAAAUUCAAAUGAGCCAAAAGUUGUCUAGAAAAUGGGCCGAAAUAGGGGCCAAAUAAUAAUAAUAAUAAUAAUAAUAAUAAUAAUAAUAACCAUACAUCCAUAUUGAAGGUGAUAUAUUUUGAAACAUUCAAGUCCAUGUAAGAUAGUAAUAGAUAAGAUGAUAAUAGCCUUACAACCAUAUUGAAGGGUGAUAUCUUUUGAAACAUUCAAGAUCUUACAACAUUGAAGUCAAUGAAAAAUGUUGUCCACACAAGAUGAUAAUAGAUAAGUUUAAAUAAUAAUAAUAAUAAUAAUAAUAAUAAUAAUAAAAUAAUAAUAAAAACCUUACAACCAUAUCGGAGGGUGAUGCUUUUUGAAACAUUCAAGUCCACACAAGAUGAUAAUAACUUUACAACCAUAUUAAAGGAUGAUAUCUUACAAAACAUUCAAGACCUUACAACCGCAUUGAAAUAUUUUAGACCUUACAACAUUCAAGUCUAUGAAAAAUGUUGUCCACACAAAAUGGUAAUGGAUAAGUUUAAUAUUCUCAAAUUAUUAUAAAUCAAGCAAAGUCUAGCUUGGCCAAUAAUAUUAUAAACUUAAAAAUUAAUUAUCUACAAUUAUAAAUUAUUUAAAGUUAUUUUGAAUCCAAAUAUGUCAAGUAGCGUCAUUAUUAUAAUUGCAUCCAAUUUGUUUUCCUAUACACACAUAAUAGAUUAAACACUAUAUUUGUAUUGCAACUUAAGUAAUCACUUUUUACUUCGAAGAAAAUUGUGUUAGAAAAUAAUAAGAUCCAAACCACAACUUAAUUCCUGAAGUCCCAACUAAUGAGAAAUAUACACAUGAUAUAAUCUUAUGAUAAUAGAUUAGUUCCAUCCAAUUAUUUUUUAAUAUAUCAAUAUCUAAUUACAUAAUUUGUCUAGAUUUAAUCAUGAAUAACGAAUAACCAUUUAAAAUCAAAUCAUAAUAGUCCAUUCCUCCGGACCCACAACUAGCUCCUCCCCACUUCUUCCAAAGUCUUCACAAAAGAUUCUUAUUUCCACCUGGGAAUCUUUUAUUAAAUUUUUAAUUCUAUAACCCAUAAAAACUUAACAAAUAAAUACAAUUUUAUAGAUUUAUAAUAUAUAUAUAUAUAUAUGUUCACUAAAACAUUACCAUCUUUUUAACAAAAAAAAAAACAUAAUUUGUAUUUUUAUUAUAUAUGAAAUUUAUCAUUACAUUAUUUAUUGAAACAAUUAUCAUCCUUUAUUUUGUAUUUAUUUCUUAUAAUUUAGUUUUUUUUUUGAAGUAAAACAAAAUUGGUGUGAAUUUUUAAAAUAUUAUAAUUUAUAGAUAAAUUUUUUCAAAUAUUAAUAUUCAUUUUUAAUGAAAAAAUAUAGUUCAAAUGUUUAUCUAAAAAUUAACAAUUUCACAAAAUUUUAAUAAAAUAUUAAAAAAAAAAUCCACGGGAUUUGUUUUCUUUCAUGGUUUUAUCUAUUAUCUCAUAUUAUCCUUAGAAAAAUGAAUUUAUAUUAAAAAAUAUUAGUUGAUAAGAUAACAACAAAUCAAUUUACUACAUAACAUAAAUUAAUAAAACCACUAUGAUAUUUUAAACACUAGUGAUUUGUUUCUUCAAAAUUAUUUUUGACAAAUUAUCCAAAAGUCUACAUUUUUUUUAAAUAACCAAAAUGUUAAGGUUCAAUAAUAUUUUCUUAAGGUUAUUUCUUGAAAUUAAUUUUCUAGAUAGAAAGAAGGUUUUCUAUUAUUUUUUAAGUAAUCACUUUUGACUUCAAAGGAAAAUGAUAUUAGAAAAUAAUAUGAUCCAACCCACAAACUUAAUUCCUUUAAGUUUCAACUAACGAGAAACAUACACAUGCAAUAACCUUAUUAUGAUAUAUUAGUUUCUUCCAAUUUUUUUUUAUACAAAUAUCUAAUAACUUAAUUUGCCUAGAUUUAAUCAUGGACAAUGAUUAACCAUCUAAAAUCAAAUCAUAAUGUUCAUUUUUUUCUUGAUCAUAAUCCACAAUAAAGAAUAUUUAUUUUGAAUGAAGUGUAGACCACGUUGUAAAGUUUGUCAAGUCAAAUAGUCAUAUGUAUAAUAAAUAACUAUUUGAAAAUCAUAUUAGAAUAGUUUGUAUUUUUAUAUGACCCAUCAAUUUUGUAUGAAGUAUAGACUACGUUGUUUGACUAUGACGGAUGAUAAUGAAAUUUUAUUCUCUAUGUAGUAUUGAUCACGUUAUCAAGUCAAAAAGUUAAAUCGUGCUUAAGUAAAACAUCCUUUAAAAUUAAAAAAAAAUCAAAAAUAAAAAAACCUUGACUUGUUCAAAAUUAUAGGUUUUGAAAGUUGGAAGUAAAAAUGAAGAAGGAAAAACCAAGAAAAAAAAAGGCUCAUAUAUUGGGCCCAGAAAUUAGGCCCUUGUAGAAAGGGAAAAAAGGUUUUAGAAAAAGGAAAAUUUAAUAAAAUAAAAAUUCAUGGCCAAAAGUUGCCUAGAAAAUGGGCCGAAAUAGGGGCCAAAUAAUAAUAAUAAUAACCAUACAUCAAUAAUGAAGGUGAUAUCUUUUGAAACAUUCAAGUCCACAUAAGAUAGUAAUAGAUAAGAUGAUAAUAGCCUUACAACGAUCUUUUGAAACAUUCAAGUCAAUGAAAAAUGUUGUCCACACAAGAUGAUAAUAGAUAAGUUUAAAUAAUAAUAAUAAUAAUAAUAAUAAUAAAACCUUACAACCAUAUUGGAGGGUGAUACUUUUUGAAACAUUCAAGUCUACACAAGAUGAUAAUAACUUUACAAUCAUAUUAAAGGAUGAUAUCUUUCAAAACAUUCAAGACCUUAAAACCACAUUGAAAUAUUUUAAACCUUACAACAUUCAAGUCUAUGAAAAAUGUUGUCCACACAAAAUGGUAGUAGAUAAGUUUAAUAUUCUCAAAUUAUUAUAAAUCAAGCAGGUCUAGCUUGCCAAUAAUAUUAUAAACUUAAAAAUUAAUUAUCUACAAUUAUAAAUUAGUUAAAGUUAUUUUGAAUCCAAACAUGUCAAGUAGCACCAUUAUUAUAAUUGCAUCUAAUUUAUUUUCCUAUACACACAUAAUAGAAAAUAAUAAGAUCCAAAUCACAACUUAAUUCCUUAAGUCCAUAUUAACAAGAAACAUACAAAUAUCUAAUUACAUAAUUUGUCUAGAUUUAAUCAUGGACAAUGAAUAACCAUUUAAAAUCAAAUCAUAAUUGUCCAUUCCUUCGGACCCACAACUAGCUCCUCUCCACUUCUUAUAAAGUCUUCAUAAAAGAUUCCUACUUCCACCUGGGAGUAUUUUCUUAAAUUUUUAAUUCUAUAAUGCUUUCUCAUUGCAAAAUUAGGGUCUUUUUAAUUUUUAAUUCUAUAACCCAUAAAAACUUAAUAAAUAAAUACAAUUUUAUAGAUUUAUAAUAUAUAUAUAUAUAUAUAUAUAUAUAUAUGUUCACUAAAACAUUACCAUCUUUUUAACAAAAAAAAAAACAUAAUUUGUAUUUUUAUUAUAUAUGAAAUUUAUCAUUACAUUAUUUAUUGAAACAAUUAUCAUCCUUUAUUUUGUAUUUAUUUCUUAUAAUUUAGUUUUUUUUUUUGAAGUAAAACAAAAUUGGUGUGAAUUUUUAAAAUAUUAUAAUUUAUAGAUAAAUUUUUUCAAAUAUUAAUAUUCAUUUUUAAUGAAAAAAUAUAGUUCAAAUGUUUAUCUAAAAAUUAACAAUUUCACAAACUUUUAAUAAAAUAUUUAAAAAAAAAAGUCCAUGGGAUUUGUUUUCUUUCAUGGUUUUAUCUAUUAUCUCAUAUUAUCCUUAGAAAAAUGAAUUUAUAUUAAAAAAUAUUAGUUGAUAAGAUAACAACAAAUCAAUUUACUACAUAACAUAAAUUAAUAAAACCACUAUGAUAUUUUAAACACUAGUGAUUUUUUUUUUUUCAAAAUUAUUUUUGAAAAAUUAUCCAAAAGUCUACAUUUUUUUUUAAAAUAACCAAAAUGUUAAGGUUCAAUCAUAUUUUCUUAAAGUUAUUUUUUAAAAUUAAUUUUCUAGAUAAAAAAUUAAGUAAUCACUUUUGACUUCAAAGGAAAAUGAUAUUAGAAAAUAAUAUGAUCUAACCCACAAACUUAAUUCCUUUAAGUUCCAACUAAUGAGAAACAUAACAUGCAAUAACCUUAUGAUAGAUUAGUUUCUUCCAAUUUUUUUUUAUACAAAUAUCUAAUAACUUAAUUUGCCUAGAUUUAAUCAUGGACAAUGAUUAACCAUCUAAAAUCAAAUCAUAAUAAUCCAUUUUUUUCUUGAUCAUAAUCCACAAUAAAGAAUAUUUAUUUUGAAUGAAGUGUAGACCACGUUGUAAAGUUUGUCAAGUCAAAUAGUCACAUCGAUAAUAAAUAACCAUUUUAAAAUCAUAUUAGAAUAGUUUGUAUUUUUUUUAUGACCCAUCAAUUUUGUAUGCAGUGUACACUACUUUAUUUGAUUAUGACUGAUAAUAAUGAAAUUUUAUUCUCUAUCUAGUAUUGAUCACGUUAUUAAGUCAAAAAGAUAAAUCGUGCUCAAGUAAACAUCCUUUAAAAUAAAAAAAAUUAAAAAUCAAAAGACCUUGACUCGUUCAAAAUUAUGGGUUUUGAAGGUUGGAAGUUAAAAUGGAGAUGAAAAAACCAAGAAAAAAGGCCCAUAUAGUUGGCCCAUAAAUUAGGCCCUUGCAAAGAGAAAAAAAAAAGUUUCAGAGAAAAGAAAAUUAAAUAAAAUAAAAAUUGAAAUGGCCCAAAAGUUGCCUAGAAAAUGGGCUGAAAUAGGGGCCAGAAAACCGUCCCUAUAAGAGAAAAUUUUUUAUUAUACAAAUAUCUAAUAACUUUAUUUGCCUAGAUUUAAUCAUGGAUAAUGAUUAACCAUCUAAAAUCAAAUCAUAAUAAUCCAUAUUUUUCUUGAUCAUAAUCCACAAUAAAGAAUAUUUUGUUUUUUUGAAUGAAGUGUAGACCACGUUAUAAAGUUUGUCAAGUCAAAUAGUCAUAUCGAUAAUAAAUAAUCAUUUUAAAAUCAUAUUAGAAUAGUUUGUAUUUUUUUUAUGACCCGUCAAUUUUGUAUGCUGUGUAGACUACGUUGUUUGAUUAUGAUUGAUAAUAAUGAAACUUUAUUCUCUAUGUAAUAUUGAUCAUGUUAUCAAGUCAAAAAGAUAAAUCGUGGUCAAGUAAAACAUCCUUUAAAAUUUAAAAAAUUAAAAAUCAAAAGACCUUGACUCAUUCAAAAUUAUGGGUUUUGAAGGUUGGAAGUUAAAAUGGAGACGGAAAAACCAAGAAAAAAGGCCCAUAUAGUUGGCCCAUAAAUUAGGCCCUUGCAAAGAGAAAAAAAAAAGUUUUAGAGAAAAGAAAAUUAAAUAAAAUAAAAAUUGAAAUGGCCCAAAAGUUGCCUAGAAAAUGGGCUGAAAUAGGGGCCAGAAAACUGUCCCUAUAAGAGAAAAAAAUCUUCAUAAAAAUUAUGAGGCCCAAAAUUGGCCCAGAAGUUGGGCCCAGGGAUCUGACCCAUAAAAGGGCCAAAAAGGCUGGCUGGGAGGGGAUUAAAAAAAGGGCAAACUGGCCCAAAUUAGGCCCAGCCCAUUUUUAUUGGGUUGGGUAUGGUGGGGGUGGGCUUCGCUUGGGUGUGGGUGAGGGGAGGGUUGACUUAUGACACGGUGCCAUGUGGCAGCUCCAAUUGAGGUGCAAAACCCCACUUUUUAAGCCUAUAAUGUUGUCUUUAAGAUCAUUAUGAUUUCUGCUUAGCUCCUCAUGGUGCUUCAGCUCUACUGUAAAUAUAGGAACUAUACUAAGUAAGAAUGAUACAAAACAAUACAGAAAUAAAUUUUAAACAAGGGAGGCCCAAAUUUGGCCCAGAGAUGGGACCCAUAAGAGAGCCCAAAAUGCUAGCUGGUGGGGAAUACAAAAAUAAAAAAAUAAAUAAAAAGGGCCAAACUGGCCCAGCCCAGGGAAAGAGUUCAAUUAUUUUUUAAAUUAUUUGUAAUAAUAAAAUUAUUAUUAUUAAUUUAUUAAAAACUAUUUAUUUUUAAUUUAGUUAUAAUAAUAAAGUUUUUUAUUUAUUUGUAAUAUGAAUUGAAUUAAAUUAAAUUUAUAUUAUAUAAAUUCAAUUUACAAAAUCAAAAUAAAAAAUUAUUUUUAAAAACAACUUAUAUAAAAUCAACUUUUUGUUUUUUAUUAUUUGAAGAGUGUAUUUAAAAAUAGUUUACACAAAGGGAAUCAAAAUACCCUUCAAUGAUGAAUUGAAUCCCACUUAUAAGUGGAAAUUUAUUUAUUUGCUGGAAUCAUUUUUUAUUUCAUUCUCAUUGCAAACAUUAUAAUGAAUGAAUUCAACAUAUCAAACAUGAUAAUGGUAAAUAUAUUUUAAUAAAUCUAUAAAUUUUAAAACUUAACAAAUAAAUACCAUUUUAUAAAUUUUAAAAACUGAUAAUAGCGUAAUCAUGGGUUAUAAGUAUACUUUUCUUUGGUUAAAAGAGUUUUAUAUAAUAUAUAUAGUUAUAAUUAAAGUGCUUCAAAGUUAAAAGGCCUUCUAAAUACUCUUUUAGCUCCAAGGGUUGUUCUUUGUAAGGUUUGGAAUAAAUUUUUUGCUUAUAUAUUAACUUAUUAAUUUUCUUGCAAAAUAAAAGGAGUCUUCUUUUCUCAUUAAAAUAAUUUGAGUCAUUUUUCCUUCUCAUUACGCUACAACAAAUGUGGGCUUUUUCUAUGUACUAAUUUGUACUUAAAAAAGAGCAUUUCUGGGUUGUUGCUAUAAUCAUUUUUUACCAUAACAAAUGAAUUUUAUAGCCAAAAGAGGUAAAAUUUUGCCAUAACAUGUUAUUUUUCACCACAAAAUAAAACUUGUACCAACACAUCACUUUUUUCCACAAAACAAAUUCAUGGCAAAACUCAAAAUUCUCUAUGAACACAAAAUUCAUGGUAAAAGUUCACUACAAAAAAAUAUUUACGGUUAAUGAUUAAAUUCCACCAUAAAAAAAAAAAAAAAAAAAUUGUGGCAAAAGUUUAUUUUCAAUAAAUUUUUUUUUCUAAUAGUACUAAAUUGCUAUCUAAAGAGCAUCACUGAUCAUUCUGCCAUUGUUGUCCCUUAAUGCUAAAAUACAUAAUGAAUCACCAACUUGACAUAAAUUAGGAUCAAUAUAAAAACAAAACAAAACAAAAAAAAAACCAAAAGAUGAACUUAGCUAAAAAAAAUUAAAGCCUAUAAAUUCACACAAAGAAUAUUAAUAAUUUAAUAAUUAAAUAUCAACAUUACAUCCUUUAAUACACUAAGCUUAGUAUGAAGUAUGAAGUAUGAAAUGCCAUGAGAGAUUCAUCACAAAAUAUACUUCAAAUCAAUUUGCAUACUCUCUAAUGGUAGCAUGUUAUCCUCUAGUUCAUUAUUUUCAUUAAUUGACACAGAAUCAGUAGAAAUAGAAUCAGAUUUUACUUGAAACCCUAAAACAGUGCUGACCUCAAAUUACUGGUUGUUUGGAUCAACAAACUUGAGCAUGAGGUCAUUAUGUCCAGACUUUGAAUCCUCCUCCGGCUAGGGCUUCGAAGCCCCACUCUCCUUCUAGGUUUCAUUGUUUUGCUCCUCUUGCCCACUUUGUGCUAUUUCAGAUACCACAUUCUCACUAACCAUAGUGCUAGUUUCGACAAAAAUUACAUUUCCUGAAUAAAAUUUCAUUGAAAGAAUAUUAAAUUCUAUUAAUCACGCAAAGUAAAAAAUAAGAUAGGUGCACUACUUGAACCUGCUAAGACAUCAAAUUUUCUAUUAUAAGCACUUGACAUUAGUUGAGAGGGAAUUUUCAUUUUCAGAAAACCAGAAGAAAAUACGACACACAAUCAUCAAAAUUUCUCCCCCUAUCAAUUUCCUCUCGGUUUUCUCUACAACCAAACAAAGGGUAAGGGUUUUUGAAAAUUUCCUCUUCCAGAUUCUUCUUCUAAUCAUCAACACCGUCCAUUUCUAUAAAUUUCAGUCAAAUAUACAGAUAAUAUUAGACGCUUCCAUGCUGAUAGAGAGAGAAAGUAGAAAUUGUAAAAUUUUAAAAUCCAUCAACACUGCUAGAAACUUCCAAGCAAAUCAACAGUAACAGUGGUGACAAAAUUGUAUUUUUAUACUAAUACAAGUGCUAGGACUAGGCGGCUUCAAUAUCACUCUACAAAAAUUCAAAAUUCAAAUUGAAUUUUCUUUCAUUUUCCUAAACCUUCACAGCAACCAAACGCGAGUUGGGGCUAAACAUCUCCACACCACACCCUAAAAACUCCAAACAUCAAGAAUAUGAGACAAUCGACAAUGAAAACUCUAAAUAUCCAAAGAGAAAAAACAGAGAAUUGAAGAGAGAGUUAGAGACCUAGAUAGGUUGAUUGAGUUGAGAGAGGUGAUCAGAGGAGAGGUGAGGCAAGAGGCCAAGCAGUGCGGAGAGAGCCAUCUCCGAGUGCUUAGGAUGAAUCCGUCGCAUCAAUCCCAAAGUCGCCUCCAUUUUAUUCAAAAAAAGGAUUCGGUUAAGCUCUAGAACCACCACCACCACUCUAGGGACCCUUCCCCCUGAUGACACGUGGCGUGCCUCGCUGUCCGAGGCGACUCCAUCCGGACUCCCCAGAGAAGGACACAUGGCGCGCUCCCCCUAUCCGGACUUCCUUAGGGAAAAGCACACGACACUCGCAAGCAUCACAUCCCCGGACGAUAGCAUAUCCUAUUCGGAUAUGUUGUCCGGAUCGUUGACUAAAGUAAGUAAGUCUUAAUGACAGCUUGCGUGGCCCACGUUUCGCCACCUGCAGAGUGAAAGGACAGAAGUGAUGGCAAAUCACCUCCCACGAUCUCUGACAGCCGUGUCGUAGGGUGAUGAUGACCCUGCCACCACCUAGAGGCAUCAUGACGAGCCAAAAAGUCUCCCUACCAUUAAAGAAGAGGACAGAGCUUCUGAUACUAUAUAUAUGGACCUUCACACAAGAAGGAAGGUAAGCUUGCUAUACCUAGUAAAAGGCCAACUGAUUAAUCUCUCUAAGACAUGGCUGACAAAAUCAUCGAAGGGUGUGUCCGGACACCCUGUCCAUACAUCUUUUGCAGGGACAACUGAACCAGAACUCUAUCUUGGUUGAAAGUGUGCGUCCAUUUGGCAGCUACGUGGAUCAUCGGGACGCAAGGCCUUAACAUUGGCGCCGUCUGUGGGAAACUCGCUGAUUCAGUCACCGGCAAAGAUGUCCACACCUUCCAAAAGCCACUCGUCUGCUAGGGGAGAGGAAGAUAAUUUUGAAUGGCGCUGAGCCAUCGAAAGAAGACAGUUGGCAAGCGAGCGACAACUGCAAGCUCUCCUCCAGGAGACAAUAAGAUUAAGAGAAGAAAACGCUGUGUUGCGAAUAUAGGCUUCAUCAACGGGGCCUCCCCGUCAUUAGCAUUCAAGAGGUCAGGUAGCAAACUCAAGGCCUGACCCAGAGUCAAUAUACCCUGGGGCAGCAGGAGCAAUCCCUGAAACAUGCAACGUUAGGCCACAUGAGCCACACACGCCCAUGCACCGAGCUCCUCAUGAGGAAAGCUCAGACUCUACUCAUCUUUCAACAAAAAGACAACGCGACAAAAAACCCCAUUUGUUAGACUCAAUGCGCGCGAGACUAGGCCCACAGGAGCCUAGGAGGCCAAGGCCGCCAGUUGCCACAACCUGGGGAGCACACCCUGACCCUAUGGUCACCCCUAUGGUGCAUAACGUUCUCCCGCACCGUGACCCUAUGGUCACCCCUAUGGUGCAGAACGUUCACCCGCACCUAGCAGUAUGACAAGCUGGGAGAAACCUCCCAAAGGAGCCACCCAUUGGCUCCAUCAGCAAAAGGCUGGACGACAUGCUCUCCACGCCUUUCUGCUCUCAUAUUAUUCAUUACGAGCCCCCAAGGGGAUUCCUUGUGCCUAAAUUCUCCACGUACGAUGGGUCUAGUGACCCCUUCGACCAUAUCAUGUAUUAUCGACAGCUCAUGACUCUCGAUAUAAGAAACAACGCGCUACUAUGCAAAGUGUUCCCCGCCAGCCUACAAGGGCAGGCCCUCUCAUGGUUUCACCGUCUACCUCCCAACUCUAUUGAUAAUUUCAGGGACCUGUCGGAAGCCUUCGUGGGACAAUACUUAUGCUCCGCUCGGCAUAAGCAGAACAUCAACACUCUGCAAAACAUAAAAAUGCAGGACAACGAGUCCUUGAGGGAGUUCGUGAAACGGUUUGGUCAGGCCGUGCUACAGGUAAAGGCUUACAACAUGGAUGUUGUCCUGCAGAUCUUCAAGCGAAGCAUUGGUCCAAGCACCCCAUUUUUCGAAUCAUUCGCUAAGAAGCCUCCUACGACGAUGGACGACUUGUUCCGGCGUGCGAGCAAAUACUCCAUGCUCGAAGAUGACGUGCGAACAGCCACCCAACAAAUCUUGGUUGUCGGACAAGCAUCCAGAGGUGGUGCAGAAAGAAGUGCCAAACUUCCGGACCGGCCAAGGCCGUCCGAUAGAAGGUAGGAAGGGCCAAGUCGCCCGGAAAUGCCGCCCCCCAUACCCCUUUCCAUAUCUUUUGAAAAGCUUCUCCCUAUGAUCCAAGACAUGUCCGACUUCAGGUGGCCUAGACCCCUCAAAACGGACCCCUCCAAAAGGGAUCAUAGUAAAAAAUGCGCCUACUGUAAGGAGCAUGGUCACACAACGGAGGCGUGCAAGUGCCUCCAUUAUUUGGUCAAAAGGCUCAUACAGGCGGGACAUUUAAAGCAAUACCUCCGCUCAGAUGCCAGAGGUAGAGACGCUUCCCGAAAUCACAACUCUGGAACCCUCAGGGCUUUAGCCGCCCCCAAAGUCGUUAUAAACUAUAUUAACGGAGGCCCACUCAAUGAGGAGUACGACUCCAAACGAAAGAGACAGAGGUUGGUGAGGGCAGCAUCGGUGCGUGAGCAUGUCAACUCCAUCCGGCCUGGGAUAAUUGGGGGUGGGGGAGGGGGGGGGGGGGGGGGCUUAGCCCCAUAGAUGGGACAAUCAUUUUCCCGCCAGUAGACCCCACACGAAUAUUGUAGCCACACCGCGAUGCCCUCAUCCUGUCCCUAGAGAUAGGAGACUUCGACGUGAGACGCAUCCUAGUUGAUCCGGGCAGCUCGGCCGAUCUUGUACAAGCAUCGGUCAUUAGCCACAUGGGAUGCAGUUUAGCAGGCCUCGAAAACCCUGGGCAAAUCUUGUCCGGAUUCAACGGGGCAUCAACUACUUCCUUGGGAGAUAUUGCAUUGUCGGUCUAAACUGACCCAAUCACUCUCAACGUACAAUUUUCGGUGGUACAAGAUUUAUCACCCUUCAAUGUCAUCUUGGGGCGCACAUGGCUGCAUUACAUGAAAGUCAUCCCCUCUACGUAUCAUCAAAUGGUAAGCUUCCUUACCAAGGAUGGGCAAAUCGACCUAUAUGGCAACCAGUUAGCCGCUCGUCAAUGCUACCAGAUAGCAUGAGAAGCAGAGACCAGCCAGGAGGAUAAAACCCUCCCUGAGUCCAGCCAUACACUUGACCAAUAGCAAUUAUUGAGUCCGACGGACAAAGAUCCCUCGGCAGCGGAUCCCUUGCAGGCGAUCCAAAUUUCAGAAGAAGGUACUCACCUUACAUAUAUCAGUUCCCUCCUGACACCAGAAGAGACCCGGAACAUUUAGAACGCCCUCCGACAAAGCCAUGACGUCUUCUCAUGGGCACAUUCUGAUAUGAAGGGAAUUCAUCCCUCCAUCGCCUCUCAUAGGCUUAACAUCUUGCCAACAGCAAGACCCGUCCGACAGAGGGUUAGACGUUUCCACCCGGACAUGCAAAAGAUUAUCCGGGAUGAGAUCGACAAGUUGCUGGAAGCCGGAUUCAUCAGAGAGGUGGAGUACCCGGAUUGGUUGGAAAAUGUAGUGGUGGUACCCAAAAAGGAAGGCAAAUGGCGGGUGUGCGUCGAUUACACCAACCUCAAUAAUGCAUGCCCAAAAGACAGUUUCCCUUUGCCACGUAUCAACCAAAUUGUGGACUCCACUAUUGGGCAAGGGAUGCUCUCCUUCUUGGACACCUUCUUCGGAUACCACCAAAUCCCCAUGUCCCCGACUGACGUAGAAAAAACAGCCUUCAUAACGCCACACGGUCUUUAUUGCUACAAAGUCAUGCCGUUCGAACUCAAAAAUGCUGGCGCCACUUAUCAGAGACUGAUGACGAAGAUCUUCAAACCUCUGGUCGGCCACACAGUAGAGGUAUAUAUUGAUGAUAUCGUGGUUAAAAGCAAAACCCGAGAGGAACAUGUCCUCCAUUUGCAAGAAGUCUUCCACCUCUUAAGGAAGUAUGACAUAAAGUUGAAUCCUGCUAAGUGCGCCUUUGGCGUAAGCGUUGGAAAAUUCUUGGGAUUUAUGGUCAGCCAAAGGGGGAUAGAGGUUAGCCCUGAUCAAGUCAAGGCAGUCAUGGAAACACCACCCCCCAAGAACCAAAAGGAAUUACAGCGCCUCACAGGCAAGCUCGUUGCGCUAGGACGCUUUAUAACUCGCUUCACUAAUGAACUGCGACCUUUCUUCUUGGCAAUACGAAAAGCUGGAGCGAGCGGAUGGACAGACAGCUGUCAGAGCGCUUUUGAAAAAAUUAAACAUUGCCUCAUGCAACCGCCCAUCCUGAGCAGCCCCCUCCCUAAAGAAAAAUUGUAUAUGUAUCUGGCUGUAUCGGAGUGGGCAAUUAUCGUUGUUCUAUUCCGUUGCCCCUCGCCCAAGGAGCAGAAACCUAUUUACUACGUUAGCAGAGCGUUGGCGGACGUAGAAACUAGGUAUUCAAAGAUGGAGCUAACGGCCUUGACUCUUCGAAGUGCCGCCUAGAAGCUCCGCCCUUACUUCCAAGCCCACCCGGUGGUCGUGCUAACUGACCAACCCCUUCGCAGCAUCCUGCACAAACCGGACUUAACCGGAAGAAUGCUUCAAUGGGCCAUAGAGUUGAGCGAAUACAGAAUCGAGUUCCAACCAAGGUUGUCCAUUAAAGGCCAAGUGAUGGCUGACUUCGUGCUAGAAUACUCCUGAAGGCCUAACCAACGCAAAGAACCAAGUGAAAACGAGUCGUGGACUUUGCAGGUUGAUGGAGCCUCCCGGUCAUCAGGAUCCGGAGUAAGGCUCCUGCUGCAAUCCCCAACAGGAGAACAUCUAGAGCAAGCCAUCCGACUGGGGUUUCCCGCCUCUAACAAUGAAGCAGAGUAUGAGGUCAUCCUAUCCGGAUUGGACCUCGCCCUGGCUCUAUCCGUCUCCAAGCUCCGGGUCUAUAGUGAUUCCCAACUCGUGCUAAGGCAUGUCCAGAAGGAAUACGAAGCUAAAGAUGUACGCAUGGCGCGAUAUCUGACUAAAGUAAAGGACACCUUACAACGGUUCACUGAAUGGACGAUCGAAAAAAUUAAACGAACUGAAAAUGGACGUGCCGAUGCCCUGGCAGGCAUAGUUGCCUCCCUCCCCAUCACAGAAGCCAUAUUGUUGCCUAUACAUGUACAAGCCAACCCUUCCGUCGCAGAAGCCUCCACUUGCAAUACCAUUGAGGCAAACCAAGCAGACAACCAAGGAUAGACGGAAGCCGUCAUAGAAUAUCUCCGGACAGGCACUCUGCCCGAAUAGCCCAAGUAGGCACACAAGACCCAGGUACAAGCCGCCCGUUUCACCCUGAUCGGGGGGCACUUGUACAAGCGAUCCUUUACAGGCCCCUAUCUCAGGUGCUUAAACCACUCAGAAGCCCUGUAUGUGUUAACUGAGUUGCAUGAAGGAGUAUGUGGAAAUCAUUUAGGGGGCAGAACCCUGGCGCACUGGGCGCAUUCACAAGGCUAUUAUUGGCCCACGAUGAAAAAAGAUGCGGCAACCUAUGUAAAAAAAUGUGACAAGUGUCAAAGGCAUGCCCCCAUACCACAUGUUCCGUCGGAAACGUUAAAGCCAAUUUCUAGUCCCUAACCCUUCGCGCAGUGGGGCAUGGACAUAGUAGGACCCCUACCAAUUGCAGCUACUCAGAAAAAAUUCCUGCUCGUCGCCACAGAUUACUUCAGUAAAUGGGUGGAAGUUGAAGCAUACGCUAGCAUCAAAGACAAAGAUGUCAUCAAGUUCGUAUGGAAGAACAUCAUCUGCCGCUUCGGAAUCCCCCAAACCAUUAUAGCCGACAACGGUCCACAGUUUGAUAGCAUCGCUUUCCAGAAUUUUUUUUUCGGAACUAAACAUCUGGAAUUCAUACUCCACACCGUGCUAUCCUCAAAGUAAUGGGCAAGCAGAAGCCACAAACAAGAUCUUAAUAACUGCCUUAAAGAAGAGGCUCGAGCAAGCCAAAAGGAAGUGGGUGGAGGAGCUACCUGGCGUCCUGUGGGCUUAUCGAACCACACCCGGACGUUCGAUAGGAAACACUCCCUUCGCCCUCCCAUACGGUAUGGACGCAGUCAUUCUUACUGAAAUAGGGCUACCCACUAUCCGGACCAAGGCAGGAGAGCAGGAUGAUGCAAAUGCGGAGUUAGGAAGGAACUUGGACUGGGCAGACGAAGUAGGAGAAACUGCAUCCAUCUGGAUGGCAGACUAUCAACAAAGGGCAGCCGCUCACUACAAUCGCAAGGCAAGACCCGAAAGUUUCAAAAGUGGAACGCUGGUUCUUAGAAAGAUUUUCGAAAACACUGCUGAGACGGGAGCAGGAAAGUUUCAAGCCAAUUGGGAAGGUCCUUAUAUAGUGUCCAAGACAAGUGAAAGUGAAGUCUAUCAUCUACAGAAGCUAGAUGGAACCCCAUUGCUUCGACCAUGGAAUGUACCCAAUCUAAAGCAAUAUUACCAAUGAAGCAAAAACAGAAGUACAAAAUGAAUGAGUAUGUUUUAUUAAUACUUGUGAAAUUUUAUACAAAAAGGCUCUUCGGACUACUAAUACAGAGAGAAAAAGCAGUAAAAGUUACAAAAAGAAAAGCUCUCAUUGGGAGGGCUUGCGAUGCAACUUUUCUUUCUCGCCCGGGGGAAUCGAAGGGACAUCCCGUUUGAUGCAAUGCUUCUUCAUGCAGCAAUGGUAGCCAAAGAGAUACAUCUCGUCUACCUGCUUCUGGUAGUCCGUCUCGAGUUCCUCUCUCUCCGCAGCAAACUCAACCUCCAACUCUUCUUUUUGUGUUGAUAAGCGCAACUGCAAAUCCUCUUUCUGUUUUUUCUCAAUUGACACCUCUGUCCUGAGUUGUCUUACUUCCCCCCUCAGUUGGGCCGUCUCGUUUUCCGCCUCGUGCAAGCGGGCGUCGGUAGCUUCCUCUCGGCUCUUCGCCUCUGCUAGCUCUAUCCGGAUAGCCUCGUUGUCAUCCUGGGACCUCUUCAAGGCUUCAGCACUCUUUUCAGAGGCUCUCCGGGCAGCGGAUAAGCUGGCUUCGGCCUGCUCCAAUCUCGAGCGCAAUUCCUCUUCACCGCUCAUGUGCUGGGAGACGAAGGCCUUCAUGUGAUCGGAAACCCGCAGCAAGUUUGUAAAAAGAUCGUGUUGUCGAACCAUGCCGCGAAUACCACUCACCAGCUGCAGGAAAAACCCACAACAAAAAGUACAAGUUGCAAGCCAUGUAAAAAGCACACCAGUAUGGCAAGAAAAAUCAAAGGAGGAUAAGUUAUACCAUUUCCAUCGCUUCAAACAUUUUCGCUGUAGGCGUAGCAACAUCUGAGCCGGAUGGAAUCCGUUUUAACAUAUCUCCCAACUCCGCAUAGCUGACAGGACUAGCGGAGGUGCAAGUUGCAUCAUCAACGGGACUCUCCCCUGACGAGGCACUAGGGUGUGACUCCUCCCCCGGCUCCGGACCCCCAUCAUGCAUGGUCGGCUGGAUCUCUUCGGGCGAACCCUCAUCCGGGACCAACACCGGGUCGGUUGGGUUCUCUUCCGCCAUCUCCGUCUCACUCUCCUCCGGAUGAUCCUCCUGGGCGGAUGAGCAGCUGACUUCGAUGGUUUCCAGAAGAAUAUCCUGAAGCCGCCCGCUGAUGCCAGACUUUAAAUCGUGAGCCAGACGAGACCUCCUUGUAGCUGGCCUUUUCACCGGUACAAGGGCAAGGGAGCUCGACUCACAAGGGGGCAAACCCUGCCCUUCAACCCUCGUUUCUUCCAUUGGAGGCGCCAUAGAAGGCAACGUUUCAGCGCAAGAAGCCUCGGCUACACCCGCGUCCGGAGGGGAAGAGUCGGGCUGACACACUGAGAUUGCUUCCUCAACCAGAAGAGCCAUCCGUUUAGCCGCUGGCAUUGAAGGCCCCGAUCCGUUUAGACCCGUGAGACGUCCGGAACCGCUUGAAACAGAAGACAAACCGGAGGAAGCUGGAGAUCUUAUUAUUAUUCCCUCCACGGGAGCUGGAGAGCUUAUUACUAUUCCCUUUGUGGGAGCUGGCGAUUUUAUUACUACUCUAUUUUCGGGAGUUGGAGGUUUUAUUGCUUUUCCCUUUGAGGGAACCUUUUUCUUCGUUCUAGUUGGGGCGGCAGUAGGAGGAGAGGGCGCGGAGCGUUUAUCACCAGGGGCCUUCCGCAAAGUCCCCUCUUGCUUUUUUUUCCUCCCGUUCGUUGAGAAGUGCUUUGCGUGCUUGGGCGUCUGCCUUUUGCACCGUCGUGUAGAAUGAGAGAUCUUUUAAAAUGAAAUGCUUCCCAGCCACCACCUCUUUGGGCAGCCGCCUCGGGAGUAUGUUGAGCACGUACGGCUGGGGCACUUGGGUAACCAAGCGGAGAUUCUGCGCGGAGAGAAGCGUUUCACAGCUCCUCUCGUUUGCCGCAAUCUAAAAUAGCCUGUUCAACCGGUCAAACGAGGCUUUUUCCACCCACUCUACCACCUUCCCCCUCCUAUCCUUGCCUGCACCCAAGAAAACAAAGCAUGUCAACCACCUAAUAAUGUUGACCUAACUCACAACCACGGGAGGACAGGGAGCAACUUAUACAUACCUAGGACCUUCAAUGACCGGUUGAGAGCAAACUGCUUGUUCGGAUGCGUGGUCAAACCCACCCAUACACCCUUGAACAGCACGUGUAAAAAGAACCUCCAGUAGUGAAAGGUCCAAGUUGAACAGCAUGCUCAGGAUGCUGCACCCCAUCAGCACCCGGACCAUGUUCGGAUGGAUGUAAGCCGGAUCCGGGUGACGUGGAGAAAUUCUUUGAACAAUGAUGGGAGAGAGAACCGGAGCCCAGCAUUGAAUUGCUCCUUGGUGAAGUAGAUAGCGUUGUCCGCAGAUUUCUCAGUCGACAUGGCCUCUUCGUCCACAAGGUGAACGGACACUCCAUUCGGGAUGCAGAAGCGUUCGCAGAACUCCCUCACGUUUAGCUUGUCCACAGAUUUUUCCGCAUGGACCUCUCCGGACGCAUCUUUGCCGCUCUACCCGGCCGCACUAGACGAAGCAGCGUUCUUUUUCGCAGACAUUUUUUAGAGUAGGGUUGAAGCAAAACCUGCAUGACAGAAUGUCAACAGUAAAAAACAUGGACCCGACCCCACAACCCUAACGGCAAAAAACGCUCAGAAAACCUAACAUCACCAGUAUCCCCAUCCCAACCCUUGGCUCUACCACAAACAAAAAUCGGUAGCCCACAAAAGGCGCAGGGGGGCAACAGAAACCCUAACGCACCCAAAACACGAUCAAAACCCCCUGAAAAAACCCUAAAAACCAAUAUCGACCCCCAAUCGUAAAGUAGAUUGCCCAACAAGCCAGAAACAACCAUAAAGCAAACACAAACGAGGACAAGGCAGAAAUAGAGAACGUACCGAGUGUAAAAUGGCAAAAUGGAGAUAAAGUCCACGGUGCACUCACCGUCACUGAUCGAAUAUUGCUAGCAGAAACCCUAGAACCUCACUCACAGACGAAGAUACGCAGAAGGCUGAAGAGAAAGCGCUACCAAUAGAAAAUGCAGAAGAAAAAAUGCAACAGUAGGGGGCUCGAUCUGCUAUUUAUAGUGGACAGCCCCUCGGUAUCCCAAACGACCAACCGCGCCGUUUCUGAAAAGACACGCUGCUUGGAAAUUCCCAGAGAUGUCGGCUCAUCAUAAAUGCUCUUUUUCCUUUUUCGCCCCCGCGCACCACGUGGCCCAAUGAGCGCAAAAAGUAACCUCAGAUUCAAAAACAAUCAUUUUUUAACCUGCUCAUUCUGCCCGGACAAAAUCGGCAGGUUAAAAGGGGGGCAUUGUAGGGACCCUUCCCCCUGAUGACACAUGGCGCGCCUCGCUGUCCGGAGCGACUCCAUCCGGACUCCCCAAAGAAGGACACGUGGCGCGCUCCCCCUAUCCGAAUUCCCUCAGGGAGAAGCACACGGCACUCGCAAGCAUCACAUCCGGACGAUAGCAUAUCCUAUCCGAAUAUGUUGUCCGGAUCGUUGACUAAAGUAAGCAAGUCUUAAUGACAGCCUGCCACAGCCCACGUUUCACCACCUGCAGAGCGAAAGGACAGAAGUGAUGGCAAGUCACCUUCUACGAUCUCUGACAGCCGCCCGUAGGGUGAUGAUGGCCCUGCCAUCACCUAGAGGCAUCAUGACGAGCCAAAAAGUCUCCCUACCAUUAAAGAGGAGGACAGAGCUUCUGAUACUAUAUAUAUGGACCUUCACACAAGGAGGAAGGUAAGCUUGCUAUACCUAGUAAAAGGUCAACUGAUUAAUCUCUCUAAGAUAUGGCUGACAAAACCAUCGGAGGGUGUGUCCGGACACCCUGUCCGGACAUCUUUUGCAAGGACAACUGAACCAGAACUCUAUCUUGGUUGAAAACGUGCGUCCAUUUGGCAGUUACGUGGAUCAUCGGGACGCAAGGCCUCAACAACCACCACCAUCGUCGCCUCGGUACUCAGAUGCAGACUAUAAUUAAAUUUUCGAAGACGGUGACUCUAUAAUAAUAAGUCUUUCAAUAGUCAAUACUUCCGAUUCGAAAGUAUGACUAUAAUAAUUAAAUUUAAAAAUUUUAAAAUCAUUUUUAUUCUCAAUAUUGGGAACAAAGUCUUCCAUUAUUUUUUUUAAAAAAAUGCAGUAGUGUUAAAACAAUUUAUCUUCAAAACUAAUGUUAAAAAAAAAGUAAAAUUAAAUAAAAAUUAGUUUCACCUAUUAUUAUAUUUUUAUUUUCUAGCUUUUGGAUGUUGUUAUCAUUUUUUCCCUUCAUGUGCUAGGAUGACCGAGUUGAAUUUGUUAUUUGGGUGGAGCUAAUUUGUUUAAAUAUUCAUUCUUUGGGGAAUAAAAAUAAUUUUAAUAUAGCAAAACUAAAACAUAUAAUAUAGAAGAUGGACAAAGUUAAGGUAAACACUCAAAGAAAAUUAAGAUUUUGGGACUUCUCAAUUUAAUAAAGGUUUUGUUGUAUUAAGGGUACAUGGGUUAUACCAAUAAAUAAGUAUUAGCCCAAAAGUGAUGCAAAUUGUGGGUACGUUGUUUAAGAAUAUAUACAUUUUCUUUUUUAUUUUCAUCCUUUAACACUAUGAUAUAUUUAGAGUCCAUUUGGUAGUGAUUCUAUAAAACGCUUUUAAUAUUUGAAAUUGAAAAUUUUUGCUAAUUAUUUUAAAUUUUUUUUUGGAGCUAUUAUUAAUUUUAAAAUAACUCUAUUAUUUCUAUUUUAUGUAGAAUUAUUAUUUUCUAUUUUUUUAACCUAGCAAAUAAGUUUCAAAUUAAAUGAGGCUUAAUGUGUUAGAUUUAUUAACAAGUUUAUUAAUUUUUGAAAAUAAUUUGAAACUCAAAUAAUAAACUCAGUAAUACUAGAAAUUUAUGGAUAAAUUUUUUUUUCAUAAUGACUAUUAUUUUUUUCUACACAUAAUUAUAUUUUAAUAAAUUUCUCACUAUAAAAAUGAACUUCAAAUUGACACUUUGUAUUAAAUUUAUUAAUAUGUUUAACAAUUUUCAAAAAUAAUUUGGAACUAAAAAAAUAAGUACAAUCAUAAAAAAAACAAUAGAUUAAAACUAAUAUAUUAUGAAUCAUGACUUUACUGUUUCUUCUAUAUAUACAAAUAUAUUUUUUGAAUUUAGGUAAAUAAAUUAUAAUUUGAGUAAGACAAAUUAAUAAUUUAAGUUCUUUAAUGAAUUUUUAAAUUUUUAAGAAUAAUCUUGAAUUCAUAAUUGCCCUCCUCCUAUGAGAAUGGCAUAUUGCCCACCAGUACACAAAAUAAAACCGAUGGAAGUAGGUAGAAAAUUAUUUAGGAAGAACCACUCAGAUUAUGCAGUAUGGUAAUGUACAUCCAUAAGUUGGUUAAUCAGCUAUUAAGUUGUAAUUUCCAUAAUGUUAUAAUGAUCUUCUACAGAGUAUCUGAAAAUAAGUUGAUGUUGAAACUUGUCAUAUUUUCAUAUGCCUUUCAAAGAUGGAUCCCUUUAGUUAGUCAAUAAUUGAUACUGGUUAAUUUCAAGUAUGCUUAACUGUUAUUCCUAAUUCUUUGUGAUGAAUCAAUCCUCAUUGGUGAAAUGAUUAUGUAUCUGAAGUUUGAGACAACAACACAUUAGCAUCAAUAAAUUCUUGGAUGUAUGAUGGAGUUGUGAGUUUUCACAAUGGCCUACUGCUUCAUCUAUUAUAUAAUGGUUUUUCUUUCCCUUGGUUAAAUGUUUGUGUGAUUAUUUUUGGCUUAUUGGUUGGUCAAUCAAAUAUUGAACCCUUUUAAGUUGGUUCCUACAUCUAAAACUAAAUUGUUCAUGAAGUUUCUGAUUGCCUCAUCCUGUCUUUUCCAUUUAUGCAUGUAGGUACAAUGAAUUUGAUCAACCUGUCUGUAGGGUCUGUGAUGUCAUUUUGAAAUCUGAAUCCCUAUGGGAUGCACACCAAGCUUCUCGUAAACAUCAUGAGGUGAUGCUUACUGUCCUAGUUAUGUUAUGAAUAAAGCUAUUGAAAAAUUGCAUUCAGAGGUUCUAUAGCAUGUACAAUCACACACGACACAAAAGAUUAUUGUAAUUUCAUUCCUUUAUGAUAGAUAAAUUCUAAAAUAAGAAUGCAGUGAAAUCAUGUAUGAAGAUAUCUACAGAUUGUCACACUCAAGAGUCGAUAUUGAAGUGGUGUAGGGUGAAGGGCUUGAGUAAGGGCCUCUCUCGAGGUUUGUUUCAUUGAGUAAGAGCCUCCCUUGAGUUUGAUGUCACACCUAUCUUUCUAUAAUGUAGUCGUGUCCCUCACCUUGGCAAUAGAUGUUAAUCCUUGGAUUGGAUGGGUCCUUCCUCUUCAAAAUCCUUCUUUCUUUCCUUUUGUCUAGGGUGGAUAAGUUGGUUUAUCUUCUGCUAGUAGGACAAAUUUGGAGAUUCAAAGUUUCCCUUGAAUUGAAAGACUUUAUACAGUUAGUGGCUUAUAGUAAAGAGAAUAUAAGCUAUCAUCUUGGGGUUAGAAGACCCUACAAAGUUAUUGACCGUGAUGAUUGUGUUUCAAGUAGGAAGAGUAGAGAAAAUAGAUUACUCAGUGUUGGAUAUACUUUCUACUUUUUGUUCUUGAAAUAAAAAAAAUCAGUAGUAAAUUUUAUAUAAGAUGCAAGAACUCUUAAAAGUUUGCAUGAAAAAAGUAAUGGUUCUGAAAGCUAUUUAAAAAAUUUGAGGUAUUAGAAAGUUUUUAGUACCUCAAAUUUUAAAAUUUCUAAAAAUGAUUUUUAAAGAGAUAAGGUGAAUCUAUUCUUUUUGUACAAGAUGUUUUACUUUUUUAUAGAAGUUUCUGAUUUUAAAAACAAAAAAUAGGAAGUGUAUCAAAAUAGACAUUUAGUUUCCCAUUGCUUGUUUCUUGUGAUCUUUGGUUGUGUAUCUUUUCUAUGGUGGGUAUUUAGUGUUCUUUUAAGGAUUUGUUAGGGAUAAUAGGAGCAAAGUUAGUUGAUGCCUUUCAAAUUGAGGGAAAGGCCAGGAUAUUUGAAUAAUAGAUAAAGGUAUGGUGUAUACUUCUUGUUGCCCUCUUUGGGUUUUCAUUAUUAGGGAGUUCACUAUCAUUUUGUUUAUUUUGAAUUUGGGUCCAGAGCAACAUAUGUUACUCCCUUAAAUGAGUGUUCUUAUUUUUAAGCUCCAUACCUUUUGGGUUUUACCUGGAGCCUUAUCAGGAUGUGAUAUUUUUGUUCAUGUCAUUCUUCCUACAUGUGACUUUCAUUUCAAUUCUCUAUUAGAGUUGUUUGUUUUGUAUGAAAAAUACCUAAUGAUUUUUAUGGUGAAAAAACAUCCUCUGCCUGCCCACUAUUAUCAAAGGUAAGCCUUGGUGGUAAAUAGUGCAAACCAUGGGUGAAGUGGUUUGCUUUAGACAAGGUGUCUCUGAUCAUAGCUAUGUAUGUUGUGAAAAACACAAUUUGUGUGUAAAGAUGAAUGAAUGGUGCAGUGAGUGUUUUCCUUUUUUCUGGAGUAAUCCACAUUAACUAUCUCUCCUUUUAAUAGAAAUAACCAAAGAUUAGAAAUAGGUCAUCUAUGAUAGCCAUCGAAUGAUGCAUAAACACCAAUAGCUAUUCUUAGAUAAAAUGCCAGCUAUUCUAGGUUUUACUUCUCCUUUUUUCCCCACUAUUGAAACCCUAAGCACCAUUAUGCUUAGGGAUUUCCUUUGGGGAGGUGGGAAUCUGGAGCGAAAACCUCAUUUAGUAAGAUGGGAAUUGGUGUGCUUAAGUAAAAAGAAAGGGGGUUUGGGGGUCAAGUGCCUUUCCACAUUCAAUAAGGCUCUUCUUUGCAAAUGGAAUUGGUGAUUUGCGAAUGAAAGAGGGGUUUUGUGGAAUCAAGUGAUUAGAGGGAAGUAUGGGGAAGAAAGAGGGGGGUGGUGCUUUCGGGAAAUGAGAGAGGCGUAUGAUGUUGGGUUAUGGAAAGGGAUAAAGAUGGAAUGAGAUAUUGUGAGAACUAGGAUUUCCUUCUCAGUAGGUAAUGGGCAUAGGUGAGAUUUUGGAGGGAUAAGUGGUGUGGGGAUUCUCCUUUGUCUGUGUCAUUUCUAUCCUUGUUUGCUUUAGCUGUUGAUGAGAAGGCAUGAUUGGUGGAUAUUUGGGACUCCUCAACUGAGGGGGGUAGGGGGGGAUGGAACCCUUGCUUCUCUAGAUCCUUUAAUGAUUGGGAGGUGGAGGAGGCGGAAAGCUUCUUGAUGCGGCUGCAUGGGAAGAGAGUGUGUGGUGAUGUGUAAGACACGGUGUUUUGGAACGAAACAAAGAGUGGGAAGUUCUUGGUCAAAUCCCUCUACUAUGCUCUAGAGCUGGAUAGCUCUUCUUCAUUUCCCCCAAGUUGCAUUUGGAAUGUGUGGGUGUAGCCCAAGAUUAACUUCUUUGCUUGGGAGGCUACAUGGGCCAAAGCUUUAACUUUGGAUUUAAUUCAAAAAGGAGGACGGGCCUUAGCAAAUAGAUGUUUUUUGUGCCAUGAGAGGGAAGAGACUAUAGGCCACCUUCUUUUUCAUUGUACUAAAGCAAGGGUCUUGUGGGAAUUGUUCUUUUCUUUGGUUGGGGUGUCAUGGGUGCUUCCUUCUUCAAUUAAAGAGACCCUCCUUAGUCGGCAUGGUUUGUUUGUGGGCAAAAAGCGUAUGAAGGUGUGGAGUGCAACUCCUCUACAUAUUUUUUUGGACGGUUUGGAAGGUGAGAAAUAGAUUAGCCUUCGAUCUAGAGACUCAAAUACUAUUUUGUUUUUUCCCUUUGGUUAGAGGCAAAGUUGUUUAUAGCUGAUCACCCUCUAACUUUAGUUAGUUUUGUUGAUUGGUUGAGCUUUAGUUAAAGUCGUUUUUUUUUACUUGCUUGAGCGUUUGUUUUCUUUUUCUUUUUUGGCUGGUUUGGCGAUGGGUGUAUAGGUGUUGUAUACCUUGAGUUGCUCUUUUGACGUCUCUUUUUUAAUAGAUCUUUUUCUUUACCUAUCAAAAAAUAAAAAUUAUGCUUUAUCUCAUGAUGUAAUCAAAUGCAUAUGAAGAAAAAGUGUAAUUCUAUCCAAACAAAGAAUUCAAGCACUCUCUCCUUUCAACACACAAGAGGCGAUAUACCACCAAACAACGUUUGUCAGGGGUUAAAAUAUGUAGGGAAAGAUGUUACCUAAUGGAUAAAAGAAUGCUUACCAAGCAAAAGGACCUACAAGGAGCAAAUGAAUUGCACAAGGUUAAUUGGGAUGUAUUUAAAGGUGAAGAAGAUGGAGAGAUAUAUUUAAAGCUCAAAGAUGUGUUUCUGCAGUCUUGCUUCGAGUGGUCUUUGCAUGCAUUUGCGCAAUAAGGAUGUCUCUUUUUGAUUUUGUAGAUAGUUCAGGUUUGAUGCAAGUGGUUUUUGUGAGUGUUGAGUUCAGGUUUUCUAUUUAUUUAUUUAUUAUUUAUUUUUAUAACCACUAUGUCUUGGUGGUCCUAUGUAUAAUGUACUAGGUUUGGCCUCUUUGUGGCUCUUAGAUUUGCAUAUCUUAUUAUCUAUCAAAAACAAAAAAAAAAAAGGCAAUUAAAGAGAUAGAGGAGAUUGAUGGAUGUGAUAGAAUAAUUUGAGUUCUAGUUAAAGCAGCCACAAGAAAUUUUUUUAAAAUCAUUUUCUUGUUUGCUUUUCUUUUUUUCUUUGUUUUCAUCUCUUUCUUGAUCUCUUUCCUUCUGUCAGAAACAACAAUUUAUAUGCAUAGCAUGUUGGCUGUCUCUGACUCUUUGUGUUCAGGGGAGAAGUUGUUCACAAACUUAGACAAUCACCUCCCCUCUUAGCCAACUCAUCAACUCUCUAGGUAGGCAACCAAGCUUUCCAAGGCAACCCAUGCUUCUAGAAUGGUCAACAAAUCGGUGAAUUUAGAAAGCAUAUCUCAAUACUCCCUCCUAUCCAGAAGAGAUUUCUAAUUCAGAGCAAGUACACCACUUUCAAAGUUGGGGUGAGGAUAAGAUUUUUUUUCCCCUUAAUGUGCAAAUCAAUACUGGGUGGCUUAUAUGAAAACGUCCUAACAGGCCUAUUUUUGUGUUUCCUGAGCAAUUUCCCAGACCAAUUUGCAAUGGAGUACCAUCAAAGUGGAUCUUAGGCUAUCAAUAGGAGAAGAGGGGAUGGGGACGAAUUUCUCAAAGACCUCAUAAUUGCCCUCCUCCUAUGAGAAUGGCAUAUUGCCCACCAAUACACAAAAUAAAACUGAUGGAAGUAGGUAGAAAAUUAUUUAGGAAGAACCACUCAAAUUAUGCAGUAUGGUAAUGUACAUCAAUAAGUUGGGUAAUCAGCUAUAAAGUUGUAAUUUCCAUAAUGUUAUAAUGAUCUUCUACAGAGUAUCUGAAAAUAAGUUGAUGCUGAAACUUGUCAUAUUUUCAUAUGCCUUUCAAAGAUGGAUCCCUUUAGUUAGUCAAUAAUUGAUACUGGUUAAUUUCAAGUAUGCUUAACUGUUAUUCCUAAUUCUUUGUGAUGAAUCAAUCCUCACUGGUGAAAUGAUUAUGUAUCUGAAGUUUGAGACAACAACACAUUAGCAUCAAUAAAUUCUUGGAUGUAUGAUGGAGUUGUGAGUUUUCACAAUGGCCUACUGCUUCAUCUAUUAUAUAAUGGUUUUUCUUUCCCUUGGUUAAAUGUUUGUGUGAUUAUUUUUGGCUCUUAUUGGUUGGUCAAUCAAAUAUUGAACCCUUUUAAGUUGGUUCCUACAUCUAAAACUAAAUUGUUCAUGAAGUUUCUGAUUGCCUCAUCCUGUCUUUUCCAUUUAUGCAUGUAGGUACAAUGAAUUUGAUCAACCUGUCUGUAGGGUCUGUGAUGUCAUUUUGAAAUCUGAAUCCCUAUGGGAUGCACACCAAGCUUCUCAUAAACAUCAUGAGGUGAUGCUUACUGUCCUAGUUAUGUUAUGAAUAAAGCUAUUGACAAAUUGCAUUCAGAGGUUCCUUUAUGAUAGAUAAAUUCUAAAAUAAGAAUGCAGUGAAAUCAUGUAUGAAGAUAUCUACAGAUUGUCACACUCAAGAGUCGAUACAGUAGAAGAAAAACAUUUGUCUUUGUAUUUACAGAUUAACAUGUACAUCAAAAUGCAAUGAAUAUUGUCUAUCAAAAAAAAAAAAAAAAAAAAUACAAUGAACACAUGUAUUUGUGUAUCUAUUUAUACAUGCUAUUGAUUAUUUGCAUGUCAAAAUCAGGUUGUUUGAUUUUAAAAGAUUCUAUAUGGAUUCAAAAGAUGUAUGUGCUAGGGUCUUAUCUUUGCUACUAAAGCUAUACUUUUAAUAUGCUUUGUUUUUUUUUUUUUUUGAAAUUUUAUGCACGUUUCCUCUUAUAUAUUACUUUUAUGUUUAUUAUCUAUACAUAAUUAACAAUUCAUGAUGACAUCAUCGAUCAUUAUUUUCCUGUGUUUCAUAUUGUAUCCUAAGUGGAAAUAUCAUUGAAAUCCUUCUAUACUUGUGUAAAAAAUAAACAGCUGUCAUGCAUAGAUUAUCGCAUAGUGUAUAAUUAUAAUUUUGUUUUUAAACAAAACAAACAAAAUAGGGUCUGCAACCCUACUCAGCAGCUGCUCAGUUGACAGCUCCAAUCUGGCUCUAUGCACCUAAAGAUUAUUUUGUACUUAAAAGGAACUAUUUAAAAAAAAACACAAAAAGAAGAAAAUAUUUUUAAUCUGUCGUUGGAUGAAACAGGGUGAAUGAGCCCUAUCAGGGUAUAAGGUUUUUUUUUUUUUUUUGGUUUUUGUUUUUGUUUUUUGUUUUUAUUUAUUUAUUUAUUUUUUUAUCAUAAACAAUAAUUCGUUUAUAAGGAUUUGAAAGUACAUGUGAAGGAUGAGAAUUCCUUCCUGAAAAUAAAAAUUUUGAUUAAACAUAAACAAAUGGAUGAUUUCCCCAAAAUGCAAAACGAGACCUCAAUAUAUUGCCAAAAGAAACCAUAGAAAGGAAAGACUAUUCUCUAUGGGCUGAAGCUUUGCUCUAAGCUUAACUAUUUUGACUUUUAUGAUUCACACACCAAAUUCUAAUUGAGCUAGAGUCCCCUUGAAAGCUGUAGUUGUUGGGCCUCAAAAAGAGGAAUAGAGAUAAAUUAGGUUCCAUAUAGAUUUUGUAGUUCUCCGCUUAUCCUAAAAAAUCUUUACAUUUCUUUUCUUCCAAUUUGCCAAAAUUUUUUGCCUCUAGAAUAAAUUGCUCCUCAAACCUCUAAAAGAUAUCGUCAUCAUGUCACCUAUGCUCCUAAAAGUGAACUGAAACUUUAUUAAAUAAAUAAUAAAAAUCUACAUGUUUAUUACACCAUGUCAUGCUUUUAAGGGCUCUAUCCUAACAAUUGAGUCAUUCUUUCUUUAUCUACAUUUCAAAAUUCUUUCUUUUAGGAAUCCUUCCUUGGAUAGAGUUUUUUCCCUUUGUUUUUCUCAAACUUGAUUAACUUCUUAAAACUUUCUUGUGAUGGGUACAAGGUCCUCAUCUUCUUCACUAGCUUUUUCUUCUUCAUCAUCAAUGGUGGAGGCUUUAAGAGCAAUAUUUUUCUUCUUCUAAUCUUUCACUUCUUGAUGACUCUUCAUGAGUCAUCAAGGAUCCAAUCAAUUCCUCCAAAGGAAGUUUUGUAAGGUCCUUAGCUUAUUGGAUAGUCAUAACUUUGGCUUCUCAUUUCUUACAAAGAAAUCUUAGAAUCUUCAUGACCUCCUCUAAUUCCUUGUAAACCUUUCCCAAAGCUUGGAAUCCAUUAAUGAUGUCAGCAAACAUCUCAACAAUAGAUUUAUUAUCUUUCGUAGAAAUAACUCAUAAUUAACCACAAGAAUAUUGAUUUUAGAGUCUUUAACUUGAUUUGUCUCUUCAUAAGUUAUUUCUAAAAAUCUCCAAAUAUCAUAAGUGGAUUCACAUUGGCAAACGUAGUUAUAUUUAUUUCUAUCAAUUGUACAAUGUAAACAUUAAUAGAUAUCUUUAGCAUUUAAAUGAGCUUUUCUUUUGUUAAACUCAUCCCACUUUUAGCUAGGUUUAGGUAUAACAACUUCAUUCUCAAUUUGGUUUAGAAUAUGGGGACCAUUUUGGAUGAAAAAGAUCAUAAUCAAUGGAUUUAAAAAUAAUGUCGUCCUAGUUUCCCAAUAGAAGUAAUUGAUUCCCAAAAAGAACAAAUAUAUAUUAAUCGAAAACCCUUCCAUAUAAGAUGAGUUGGAAGAAUUAGCUAUUUUCUCUUAGACAAUUAAGUAAAAAACAAAAGGUCUAGCUUUGAUACCAAUUGUGAAAAAAAGCUAUUUUGAUUUAGAUAAUCAUUCAAGAGUGGGGCGAAUUAGGUAUUGAAACUAUUUUAAAAAAUAAUCAACUUAAGCAAGUUAUGUAAAGGAUAAGAAUGAAUAGAGAGUAAUAUUAAGAAAUUAAGGGAAUAAUAUUGCAAACUCUUUUAUAAUGGUUUGGGAAGCUGCCUAUAUCCACUCUCCUCAAGCUGCUAAUAGGGUGAAGGUUACACUUAGAUUCCAAGGUUCCAAUAGACCUUUACAAACUCUUCAAGUAAAAUGCCUACUUGAAUACUUCUCUCACAAUAUUAAAUUUUGAAGCUGUAUCCGUAUAGAGGCCAAGGUGUUUUAUGUGUCAGGCUUUUGUUAAUAUACUGCACUGGAAGCUUAAGUGAAAGCUCUUGAGUCAUUUAAUGUUGGGCUCUAAGGUUUAUAUUUGAUAUAUCUCAUAGGAUAGUUCUCAUUUCAGUUACUAUUGGCCAGGUGAAAGUUCCAAUACACAGCUGCUAUUUUAUGGUUCCUAGGUGUAAACUAGUAACGCUUUCAACUUUCUUGUGACUUAUGGAAUGCUGAGUAGAUUGAUGCAAAUUUGAGUGUAUUGAAGAAACUAAAGAUUUUUGUACAUGGAAUAGUAUAAUCUGUUCAAAAAGGGAAAAAAAAAUACUGCAGUAAUUUUUUUUUUUUUGAUAAAUAAAAUACUGCAGUAAUUUUGAAUGUAUGAUAUGAAUGCAAGGAGAUUAUAAUAAUUUCUCCCUGUUCAAUUGUCUAAACUCGCCCUGCUUUGUGCUUAAUCUUUGAACUUUUGACAAGAUUUUGCAAAGAUUUUAGACAGCAUCUACAAAAUUCCACUUUCUCAUUGAAAAUAUGAGCCACAAUUUUAUAUGAAUUGGUUUACAUCCUUUCAAUUGUUAUUAUUAUUUUUUUUUAUGUUUUGAUUUACCAUGAGUUAAUGAAGUGCUUAUACCACUACAGGCAAUUAAAAAUGUCAAAGCCAAUGCUGCUGGACUAACUCGGGCUAACAAUGCAAAACCUGAGGCCCCUAAACCUGAGUCCUCAACUGUAUUGUCUAAUGCUACAUCUGAACCCUCUAUGAAUUUGCAGAAGGCUCAGCUAUCAUCUGGGCUUCCUGCAGAUUUUUUUGAUAAUCAUGUGACAAAGAAGCAAAAAUCUGGUAAGAAAAAAACUGACAUCCAACUUAAGCUUUUCUUCAUCAGUUCAAUUCUAGGCUAUGGCAAUAACUACCUUAGGCUUGUACUUGUUCUGCAGCAUUUUCUAUUGUUAAAAACUAAAGUAAUUACUUUAGGUUUACAAAUGUAAGGAAGUACCCAAUUUUGAAUUCAGAGUUUGACUGAAAUUGAGAAGCAACCUAUUACCGAUUCUGAGCAUAUAUUCUAGAGUCCCACCUACCUGAUGCCCAAUAAGCCGGAAGAGUUGCUAAGUCCUUGUUUCUAGCUGUCCACAUACUUCAUGCAAAUCCCCUAUCAUAUUCUUCUUUCUUAGUUUCUUGGGGCAUCUCUAUGUCUGGAGAUUCAUUGCAGAGAAAUUCCUCGAUUACUCUUCUUUUAUUUCUAGACACCAAACCUCUGCAUUCUGACUGAUGAUCUUCAUUCAAAUAUUUUGACAGUCAAUGAGCACCCUUACAACUCCUGUUAAGCCUCAAUCCUGGUGAUCCUCCGGAUUCAAUUUAGCAGGUUUGUACGUCCUGCUUAAAGUACACCUUACACUUGAACCUUAUGUGGGAGUGACAAUCCUCACUGUGCUUGACAAGCUUGACAUUCCUAGGGGCCAAUACAGAUUCAAUAUCUUCUCCUUGCAAAAACAAGGACUUGCUAGAUUUCAGCCAAAAUGACUCAAGUUGGGCCCUGAAGCCCUUUGAAACACCCUUUCAGGUGGUUAAGAAAGCAAAAGGUGUUUGGUCUGUUAAGCUGACAAGUUUUCUAGAAAAACCAAGUAAUAGAACUUUCUGGGAUUUUUCAUUUGCUUCUUCAUCACUGUCUUUGACUGUUGAUAAAUUCCUGCAGUCAUGACUGUAAUCGCAAGUUGUUAUUAGUCUGGCAAUUUGUUCUAUAUUCCCUAGUUGAAAUUCAGGUUAGUCUGGUAACCUGUGGUUUUAGAGGAAUAAUUUAUAUUUCAUAAUGUAUCUCUAGGAAAUGAUGAUGUCAAGUUCCUAGAUCCAGAUUCAUACAACAAGACUGGGGGUUCUGCUUCUGCUCAAACUCAGUCAAUGGAGCCUCUUGAGUCGAAAAACAAUUUAGACGGAUUGUCCAGUUCUCACUCUGAAAAGAUGGGAAAAAGUGGAAUUCGUCAUGCCAGGGACCUUACCCAGACAUCAGGAAAGAUUGUUGGUUCAGAAACCAAGGAAGUAAAGGGUGCUCUUCCUGAAGGCUUCUUUGAUAACAAGGAUGCUGACCUUCGUGCACGUGGCAUUGUGCCUGUUAAGCCGGAUGU
This 42577-nucleotide long non-coding RNA is filed under the name Vitis vinifera (wine grape). RNAcentral's name for it is "long non-coding RNA (VVIN_LNC002972)". The record is from RNAcentral. Lineage: Eukaryota; Viridiplantae; Streptophyta; Magnoliopsida; Vitales; Vitaceae.